UGACUGCUAGAGUUGGCAUUACUGGCACAAAGUGUUGGUCGCGUAGCAAACGAGAACCUGAUUUUUUCGCCUUCAUAAAUUGCUGUGUUUUCACAAAGUUCGCUCGCUUCCAGUGAAUAAUUUUUCAACGUGGAAACGAUUAAAAAAUCUGAAAAUUAUAAUGAGUGCUCAGCCUAGUCCCGCCUGCAUGACUCCAUCAACCGAACAGGAAAGGGCUAAUGUUAUGUACUCGGUUGGCUUGAUGGCUGCUUAGUUGCGCGAUGACGGACGACAAGGUCGUACAUUGGCCCACAACAAUCACUUGACAUACUGCAUACAUAUGUAUGUAUGUAUAUCAGCUCACACAAAAUGAAAACUAUUCGCGACCACACAAAAAAAAAAAACUGAAAAACCACAUCGAACCACAAUCAACAACGCAAUGCAAGUACAUACGAGAACAUAUCAAUAUAGCUAGUUCAUAUACUUACGCGUGUUCUCGCUUUGCAUGUGGAACGGCAAUGAUAAAUACAUAAAUUGAAGUCCAUAUUCUAACGAAAGUUGCGUUGGGGUUGCAAUUUUGUUAUUAUAAUUAAAAGGGUAACUAUUAGAUAAUUAAAAAUAAAUAGAAUAUUGCUCUGUAAUAAUCAAUUUAGGCUUGGUUUGACGGCAUACCUAGAUGAUGUAUGAUUUUUAUGAAUUAAAGAAGCGACUUUAAAAUAACUCUUGCAAAGGCCUUCUGAAAUACAUCCUAUAAAAGCCCUUCUGGAAGGUCUUCUAUCGAUAGCGAAAGAAGAAGCCCUUUAAUUUGGGCCAAUCCAGGCAAAAAAGAAAGUAGAAAACAAUGGGUAGUUUUUUUUUUAAAAUAAAAUUUAAGGCUAGUUCGGAACGAUAGGAGGCAGAUUUAUGUUUAUCUAUCUUCUAUCUAUCCAUAUAUAUAAAUGUGAAUGUCUGUUUGUUUAUUACCUUAUAACUUUUGAACCACGACAUGG
Rhagoletis pomonella (apple maggot) is the source of this 968-nucleotide long non-coding RNA. RefSeq lists it as uncharacterized. The transcript is spliced from 3 exons. Lineage: Eukaryota; Metazoa; Arthropoda; Insecta; Diptera; Tephritidae. The record is from RefSeq and is a predicted model, not a curated record.